ACCUUCGGGCCUGGCGCGAAUGAAUGAGCCGAUGCCCGAUUAGCUAGUUGGCGGGGUAAGAGCCCACCAAGGCGACGAUCGGUAGCUGGUCUGAGAGGAUGAUCACCCACACUGGAACUGAGACACGGUCCAGACUCCUACGGGAGGCAGCAGUGGGGAAUAUUGGACAAUGGGCGCAAGCCUGAUCCAGCCAUACCGCGUGGGUGAAGAAGGCCUUCGGGUUGUAAAGCCCUUUUGUUGGGAAAGAAAAGCAGCUGGUUAAUACCCGGUUGUUCUGACGGUACCCAAAAAAUAAGCACCGGCUAACUUCG
RNAcentral lists this ribosomal RNA (311 nucleotides) under Xanthomonas sp. BA(2010). RNAcentral's name for it is "bacterial SSU rRNA". It matches the Rfam family "Bacterial small subunit ribosomal RNA", at positions 198 to 505 of the family's 1533-position model. The record is from RNAcentral. Lineage: Bacteria; Pseudomonadati; Pseudomonadota; Gammaproteobacteria; Lysobacterales; Lysobacteraceae.